GAUGAACGCUGGCGGCGUGCCUAAUACAUGCAAGUCGAGCGAACAGACGAGGAGCUUGCUCCUCUGACGUUAGCGGCGGACGGGUGAGUAACACGUGGAUAACCUACCUAUAAGACUGGGAUAACUUCGGGAAACCGGAGCUAAUACCGGAUAAUAUAUUGAACCGCAUGGUUCAAUAGUGAAAGACGGUUUUGCUGUCACUUAUAGAUGGAUCCGCCCCGCAUUAGCUAGUUGGUAAGGUAACGGCUUACCAAGGCAACGAUGCGUAGCCGACCUGAGAGGGUGAUCGGCCACACUGGAACUGAGACACGGUCCAGACUCCUACGGGAGGCAGCAGUAGGGAAUCUUCCGCAAUGGGCGAAAGCCUGACGGAGCAACGCCGCGUGAGUGAUGAAGGUCUUCGGAUCGUAAAACUCUGUUAUUAGGGAAGAACAAAUGUGUAAGUAACUAUGCACGUCUUGACGGUACCUAAUCAGAAAGCCACGGCUAACUACGUG
This 497-nucleotide ribosomal RNA is filed under the name uncultured bacterium. RNAcentral's name for it is "partial 16S ribosomal RNA". It matches the Rfam family "Bacterial small subunit ribosomal RNA", at positions 28 to 507 of the family's 1533-position model. The record is from RNAcentral.